AGAAUUCUCCCCUGGGAAAUCUAGAAUCCUCCUCUAUCAAGUCUACUGGAACUUCAGCUACCAGUAUGCAAUAUGAUACUUUCCCGUGAUAUUCAACUGCAGUCAAAAAAACAUUUCUGGAGUUAUGAACUUCUUCAAGUCACAAGCAGGCUCUUAUCUUCCAUUUCAAGGUCAGAAUGUUUGCUUCACUUACUUUUGACCUACACUCUCAUCAUAUCUUCAUUGUUUGUGGUGAUAAAAUUUUA
Heterocephalus glaber (naked mole-rat) is the source of this 245-nucleotide long non-coding RNA. RefSeq lists it as uncharacterized. NCBI's taxonomy places the organism in Eukaryota, Metazoa, Chordata, Mammalia, Rodentia, Bathyergidae. The record is from RefSeq and is a predicted model, not a curated record.